CCUCUCAUCCUACGCGCGGGGAGUAAGAGGGAAGGCAAGCGCCGCGCGCCAUUCGCGUCGGUGAAAUAAUUUGUUCUACUGCCUGUCUCAUUCUUUUGGAUUACGAUUUUGAGUGAAACCUACGUUAAACGUGAAGUGGACAGUGAAGUGACUUGUAUAUUGUUAUUAAACAUUCAAUGGAACCGGCAGUAUAUGAUCGGCGACGGGGGAAGAAGUCCCACCUACGUCUAAGCGCACCUCGCAAAAAGAGAUUCAAAAAAAAUCGAAAAAAAAAAUGUUCCUCCUGCAGCUACGAGUACAUCCAAAUUGUCAACAAACACAAAUAUUGAGACGCCUGAUCCGAGCACUGAGCCUGACGUUAAUUCCUCUCAAAUCCUACCGAACAUGUAAGUAUAACGAUUGUAUCGUCGAACCAGAUAAAAAUUGUAAGAAAAUUUUGGAAUCCCUGUUUCAAACACA
Molecule: long non-coding RNA, 459 nt
Organism: Melitaea cinxia (Glanville fritillary)
Lineage: Eukaryota; Metazoa; Arthropoda; Insecta; Lepidoptera; Nymphalidae
Exons: 3
Source: RefSeq, a predicted model, not a curated record